GCCCGGCUAGCUCAAUCGGUAGAGCGUGAGACUCUUACGGACGCAUUCUUCGGAAAAUUCCAAAUCUCAAGGCUGUGGGUUCGACCCCCACGUCGGGCU
This 99-nucleotide transfer RNA is filed under the name Pyricularia grisea. RNAcentral's name for it is "Magnaporthe grisea tRNA". It matches the Rfam family "tRNA". Rfam says of the family: Transfer RNA (tRNA) molecules are approximately 80 nucleotides in length. Their secondary structure includes four short double-helical elements and three loops (D, anti-codon, and T loops). Further hydrogen bonds mediate the characteristic L-shaped molecular structure. tRNAs have two regions of fundamental functional importance: the anti-codon, which is responsible for specific mRNA codon recognition, and the 3' end, to which the tRNAs corresponding amino acid is attached (by aminoacyl-tRNA synthetases). tRNAs cope with the degeneracy of the genetic code in two manners: having more than one tRNA (with a specific anti-codon) for a particular amino acid; and 'wobble' base-pairing, i.e. permitting non-standard base-pairing at the 3rd anti-codon position. Lineage: Eukaryota; Fungi; Ascomycota; Sordariomycetes; Magnaporthales; Pyriculariaceae. The record is from Rfam by way of RNAcentral.